GGGCAGCAACCCAACAAUGGGUUGUCCGAUUCAUCUCAAAAUUUCAGGGCAGAUAGAUCUUGAUCUGAUAAACAAUUUUACCACAUGUCAGAUUUGCUCUAAAUGCUUUGGUUUUUGAUUUAUAAGCCAAAAACUGCAUUUUACCCCUAUGUUCUAUUUUUAGCCAUGGCGGCCAUCUUGGUUGGUUGGGCGGGUCACCGGACACAAUUUUUAAACUAGAUACCCUAAUAAUGAUUU
This 237-nucleotide long non-coding RNA is filed under the name Mytilus galloprovincialis (Mediterranean mussel). Lineage: Eukaryota; Metazoa; Mollusca; Bivalvia; Mytilida; Mytilidae. The record is from RNAcentral.